AGUGUAAAGGUUUUUGGAUUGUGAGCCCGGAAAACAAUCCAACUGUAAUCCGCGGGAUUAUAGUGAAUUUCCAAGGGGUCGCUUGGGGAGUGGAGGUAGGUGCUAAGGAGAGCACCGAAUCACUAUACUUCUUGUUGUUUGCAUUGUGAUUUGUUUAAGUUCACUAACUCAUCAUUUAACACAAGUAAGAUAGUUAAAUUUAAAAGAAACCAAUUCACCCCCCCCCCUCUUGGCUUGUCACCUUGGGCAACAAGUGGUAUCAGAGCAAGGUGCUCUAAUAGUACUCAUUGAUCUCACAAUCAAGAGUUAAAGAUCAUGACAAUCCAAGUGGGAU
Molecule: long non-coding RNA, 334 nt
Filed under: Phoenix dactylifera (date palm)
Lineage: Eukaryota; Viridiplantae; Streptophyta; Magnoliopsida; Arecales; Arecaceae
Description: long non-coding RNA (PDAC_LNC020620)
Source: RNAcentral